GAAGGUAAGCAUUUGAUAAGUAGCAGCAACUCCGAAUGAGCCCAAAAUAACUAUUACACCGAGGGUUUAUCGCCAUGUUCUGAUAACAAAUAUAGCAAUUUUCAAACAUGUCCUUCAAAAGUUCCUUACCAAAUCUAGCCAUGCAUUGGUCUUUUGCUUGAAAUUGUACGCUCCUUUACUAAUGUUAUCACUACACGAAGUUCGAGCAUUAGGCCCAACUAAAGUUGGUGCGGGUAGGCUGAUUGGGCAGGAGCAGCAUGCGGAGCUCCAUAAUC
RNAcentral lists this unclassified non-coding RNA (275 nucleotides) under Hevea brasiliensis (rubber tree). The record is from RNAcentral. Lineage: Eukaryota; Viridiplantae; Streptophyta; Magnoliopsida; Malpighiales; Euphorbiaceae.